This 221-nucleotide ribosomal RNA is filed under the name uncultured bacterium. RNAcentral's name for it is "partial 16S ribosomal RNA". It matches the Rfam family "Bacterial small subunit ribosomal RNA", at positions 116 to 334 of the family's 1533-position model. The record is from RNAcentral.
CGUAGGUAAUCUACCUUUGAGUGGGGAAUAACAAUCGGAAACGAUUGCUAAUACCGCAUAAUGCAGCGGCAUCGCAAGAUGACAGUUGUUAAAGGAGCAAUUCGCUUAAAGAGGAGCCUGCGGCAGAUUAGCUAGUUGGUAAGGUAAUGGCUUACCAAGGCUACGAUCUGUAACCGACCUGAGAGGGUGGUCGGUCACACUGACACUGAAUAACGGGUCAG